UCCACAUGACAUUUUGACAUUUCUCAC
This 27-nucleotide non-coding RNA is filed under the name Mus musculus (house mouse). Lineage: Eukaryota; Metazoa; Chordata; Mammalia; Rodentia; Muridae. The record is from RNAcentral.